Molecule: ribosomal RNA, 119 nt
Filed under: Scophthalmus maximus (turbot)
Lineage: Eukaryota; Metazoa; Chordata; Actinopteri; Pleuronectiformes; Scophthalmidae
Source: RNAcentral
GCUUUCAGGCCACACCGCUGGUUCACGCCCGAUCUCGUUUGAUCUCGGAAGCUAAGAUAGGUUGGGCCUGGUUAGUACUUGGAUGGGAGACCGCCUGGGAAUACCAGGUGCUGUAAGCU